RNAcentral lists this ribosomal RNA (378 nucleotides) under uncultured bacterium. RNAcentral describes it as "bacterial SSU rRNA". It matches the Rfam family "Bacterial small subunit ribosomal RNA", at positions 37 to 404 of the family's 1533-position model. The record is from RNAcentral.
UGGAGGCGUGCCUAACACAUGCAAGUCGAGCGGAGAUAUAUUGAAGAGCAAUCAGAUAUGUAUCUUAGCGGCGGACGGGUGAGUAACGCGUGGGCAACCUGCCUUACACAGGGGGAUAACACAGGGAAACUUGUGCUAAUACCGCAUAAAAUCAUAGGAGGACAUCCUCUAAUGAUCAAAGGAGCAAUCCGGUGUGAGAUGGGCCCGCGUCCAAUUAGCUAGUUGGUGAGGUAAUGGCUCACCAAGGCGACGAUUGGUAGCCGAACUGAGAGGUUGAUCGGCCACAUUGGGACUGAGACACGGCCCAGACUCCUACGGGAGGCAGCAGUGGGGAAUAUUGCGCAAUGGGGGAAACCCUGACGCAGCAACGCCGCGUGA